This 769-nucleotide long non-coding RNA is filed under the name Rattus norvegicus (Norway rat). RNAcentral's name for it is "long non-coding RNA NONRATT032621". Lineage: Eukaryota; Metazoa; Chordata; Mammalia; Rodentia; Muridae. The record is from RNAcentral.
GGACUAAGAACAGCAAGGCAAGGCAGCACCCUGAACACUGUGAAUCUACAGUCACCAUGGAUUUGUCUUGGAUAUAGCUCUUAUGUUCCAGAGUCCCAAGCAGAAAGGGACUUCCAAUGAGAUUUAGACCUCAGACUCCCCUGCCUAAGAGCUCAAUUUUCCUUACCAUGAGUUUUUACUUCAUAUACAUUUUUCCAUCCAUCGAGAGCUCCAAGAACAAGGGAGAAACUGUUAUUAGGGACCUGAAAGGAAAGGGCUUAGACAAGGGCUAUGUGAAGGAGGUCUUGGCGGGUAGAUGGAAUCACUCUUCAUGGAGAAGGCCUUCCCUUUUCUUCCAUGACUGACAAUCUGCCUUAGGUCACUUCCCAAGGCUUUCUGCUAAUCUCAUGUCACUAUGCUCUGUGGACCCAGCAAAGUGCAUAAACUAAUUGGAGCGUGUUCCUUAAGAGAGGGCGCAGACAUGGAGAGAAGAUUCUUCAGUGCGUUUGGAAUGCUUGCUAGAAGCUCAGAGCACAGAGGAGAAAAAAAUGCAUGGAAGGAAGUCUUUAAUUCUCAGCCACCUUCAUGGAUGGAUACUUUGACUGUUCCUUCUCCUUACCAAGGGUCCAGAAGGAAACUCACGCAAUCUCUUAUAGGUAAGAAUGUUAAUCUUGUCACAAGGUGUGCCAUACCAGCAAUGGCCACCUGGUGGUGGUAGAGGUACAUUUGCUGUCCCAGAAGCGAGUGGAGCUGCUUACCUACUCUGCUUUAGCUUGAGACUAUUAAUGCU